This 460-nucleotide ribosomal RNA is filed under the name uncultured bacterium. RNAcentral's name for it is "partial 16S ribosomal RNA". It matches the Rfam family "Bacterial small subunit ribosomal RNA", at positions 338 to 795 of the family's 1533-position model. The record is from RNAcentral.
CCUACGGGAGGCAGCAGUGAGGAAUAUUGGUCAAUGUACGAGAGUCUGAACCAGCCAAGUAGCGUGAAGGAUGACUGCCCUAUGGGUUGUAAACUUCUUUUAUAUGGGAAUAAAAUGUUCCACGUGUGGGAUUUUGUAUGUACCAUAUGAAUAAGGAUCGGCUAACUCCGUGCCAGCAGCCGCGGUAAUACGGAGGAUCCGAGCGUUAUCCGGAUUUAUUGGGUUUAAAGGGAGCGUAGGUGGAUUGUUAAGUCAGUUGUGAAAGUUUGCGGCUCAACCGUAAAAUUGCAGUUGAAACUGGCAGUCUUGAGUACAGUAGAGGUAGGCGGAAUGCGUGGUAUAGCGGUGAAAUGCUUAGAUAUCACGAAGAACUCCGAUUGCGAAGGCAGUUCACUGGACUGCAACUGACACUGAGGCUCGAAAGUGUGGGUAUCAAACAGGAUUAGAUACCCCAGUAGUC